This 253-nucleotide ribosomal RNA is filed under the name uncultured bacterium. RNAcentral describes it as "partial 16S ribosomal RNA". It matches the Rfam family "Bacterial small subunit ribosomal RNA", at positions 524 to 776 of the family's 1533-position model. The record is from RNAcentral.
UACGAGUGCCUCAAGCGUUAUCCGGAAUUAUUGGGCGUAAAGGGUGUGUAGGCGGUUAUAUUAGUCUUGUGUUAAAUCCUUCGGCUCAACUGAAGAGAUGCAUGGGAAACGGUAUAACUCGAGGAUGCGAGAGGUGAAUAGAACUCAUGGUGUAGGGGUGAAAUCCGUUGAUAUCAUGGGGAAUACCAAAUGCGAAGGCAAUUCACUGGCGCACUCCUGACGCUGAAACACGAAAGCGUAGGUAGCGAAUGGG